Molecule: unclassified non-coding RNA, 276 nt
Filed under: Hevea brasiliensis (rubber tree)
Lineage: Eukaryota; Viridiplantae; Streptophyta; Magnoliopsida; Malpighiales; Euphorbiaceae
Source: RNAcentral
CUAAGCGCCAAUGGAGUUUUGUGGUAUGGAGUUCAAAAGUGGGGAGCCCCAAAAGGUUAAAAUUGGUGGUGAUUUCUUUUUGCAUGUUUCACAGCACAGAUGGGAAGAAAGUGGUUGGUCAUGCAGCAACUCCUCACCUUUCAAAGCAAACUGUAAAAACUCCUACUAACAGUGACCAGAAAAAAGGAGCAGAAUCAAAAAUCUUUUGUACGUGCGUCUUGCAACAGGUCAUUCGGAUCUGAAGUUGCUUUACAAUCUCAUACAAAGGCCAAGCAC